GAUGAAGAACGCAGCUAAAUGCGAUAAGUAAUGUGAAUUGCAGAAUUCAGUGAAUCAUCGAAUCUUUGAACGCACAUUGCGCCCUCUGGUAUUCCGGGGGGCAUGCCUGUUCGAGCGUCAUUAUAACCACUCAAGCUCUCGCUUGGUAUUGGGGUUCGCGGUUCCGCGGCCCCUAAAAUCAGUGGCGGUGCCUGUCGGCUCUACGCGUAGUAAUACUCCUCGCGAUUGAGUCCGGUAGGUCUACUUGCCAGCAACCCCCAAUUUUUACAGGUUGACCUCGGAUCAGGUAGGGAUACCCGCUGAACUUAAGCAUAUCAAUAAGCGGAGGA
RNAcentral lists this unclassified non-coding RNA (329 nucleotides) under soil metagenome. Its description in RNAcentral is "partial contains 5.8S ribosomal RNA, internal transcribed spacer 2, and large subunit ribosomal RNA". The stretch from base 1 to 120 matches the Rfam family "5.8S ribosomal RNA", at positions 35 to 154 of the family's 154-position model. The record is from RNAcentral.